UGGCGGNAUGCCUUACNCAUGCAAGUCGAACGGUAACGGGCCUUCGGGCGCCGACGAGUGGCGAACGGGUGAGUAAUGCAUCGGAACGUACCUUUCAGUGGGGGAUAACGUAGCGAAAGUUACGCUAAUACCGCAUACUCUGUGAGCAGGAAAGCAGGGGAUCGCAAGACCUUGCGCUGAUUGAGCGGCCGAUGUCAGAUUAGCUAGUUGGUGAGGUAAAGGCUCACCAAGGCGACGAUCUGUAGCGGGUCUGAGAGGAUGAUCCGCCACACUGGAACUGAGACACGGUCCAGACUCCUACGGGAGGCAGCAGUGGGGAAUUUUGGACAAUGGGGGGAACCCUGAUCCAGCCAUGCCGCGUGAGUGAAGAAGGNCUUCGGGUUGUAAAGCUC
This 392-nucleotide ribosomal RNA is filed under the name uncultured bacterium. RNAcentral's name for it is "bacterial SSU rRNA". It matches the Rfam family "Bacterial small subunit ribosomal RNA", at positions 37 to 433 of the family's 1533-position model. The record is from RNAcentral.